Molecule: ribosomal RNA, 425 nt
Filed under: uncultured bacterium
Lineage: Bacteria
Description: bacterial SSU rRNA
Rfam family: Bacterial small subunit ribosomal RNA
Source: RNAcentral
GUGGGGAAUCUUAGACAAUGGGCGCAAGCCUGAUCUAGCCAUGCCGCGUGAUCGAUGAAGGCCUUAGGGUUGUAAAGAUCUUUCAGUGGGGAAGAUAAUGACGGUACCCACAGAAGAAGCCCCGGCUAACUCCGUGCCAGCAGCCGCGGUAAUACGGAGGGGGCUAGCGUUAUUCGGAAUUACUGGGCGUAAAGCGCACGUAGGCGGAUCGGAAAGUUGGGGGUGAAAUCCCAGGGCUCAACCCUGGAACUGCCUUCAAAACUCCCGGUCUUGAGGUCGAGAGAGGUGAGUGGAAUUCCGAGUGUAGAGGUGAAAUUCGUAGAUAUUCGGAGGAACACCAGUGGCGAAGGCGGCUCACUGGCUCGAUACUGACGCUGAGGUGCGAAAGCGUGGGGAGCAAACAGGAUUAGAAACCCUAGUAGUCC